Molecule: ribosomal RNA, 384 nt
Filed under: uncultured bacterium
Lineage: Bacteria
Description: bacterial SSU rRNA
Rfam family: Bacterial small subunit ribosomal RNA
Source: RNAcentral
GACGAACGCUGGCGGCGUGCUUAACACAUGCAAGUCGAGCGGUAAGGCCCUUUCGGGGGUACACGAGCGGCGAACGGGUGAGUAACACGUGGGUGACCUGCCCUCAGCUCUGGGAUAAGCCUGGGAAACUGGGUCUAAUACUGGAUAUGACUCCACGGUGCAUGUCGUGGGGUGGAAAGCCUUGUGCGGCUGAGGAUGGGCCCGCGGCCUAUCAGCUUGUUGGUGGGGUGAUGGCCUACCAAGGCGACGACGGGUAGCCGGCCUGAGAGGGCGACCGGCCACACUGGGACUGAGACACGGCCCAGACUCCUACGGGAGGCAGCAGUGGGGAAUCUUGCGCAAUGGGCGAAAGCCUGACGCAGCGACGCCGCGUGAGGAUGACGG